GGAGACAAAGGAAAGGAGAGAGGUGACGGGGCGGGGCUGGCCUGCGCGGCUUCGAUGGGAAACGACCAGGCGUCUCCGUCCUCCUGCGUGCGUGCACUGCAACAAACGAGAACAUGGCGGAGGUGCAAAGCAACGGGUCUCCAGCAAUGCGAGGAAGAGGAGGGAGCCAGAUCCGCGAUGGUACGUGUAGGAUCCAUUUGUUCCCAACGGUUUGGGAGAGUCCCCAUGCCACGACGGCGAGCUCCUUCGGCGGCCAUGGACGUCCUACUGGAUGGAAAGGAGAGAGAGGUUAUGGGAGGACGAGAACUGGAGAAGGAGAGGGAGGCGUGGGGCUUGGGGUCGACCUGGUGCUCUGGCGAGGCGGGCUGGAGAGCUCAGGCCGGCAUGGGGCUCCAGCGUCGUGGUCGAGGCGGGGAGGGGUCAGGCGCUGGGAAGGGCUCCGCGGCUCUGCGAGUACGCGUACGCCCCGCUGCAAGCAUUGGACGCGUCCGGCUGCUCUGCUCGCGAGGAGCUCCUCGGUUGAGCAGAAUCGGGGAUCUGGGGCAAGGAUUGGUUAGCUGAGAGGGGAUUGGGUAGGCACGCAAACGUUUGCCGGUGGAGAAAACGAGGUGGGUGGCAGCGAGGCUCGGGAUUGGGGAUAGGAUAGACCUCCUAGAUUUUAGGGUUGGGUCUAAUAGGCAUUUGGACCCU
Molecule: long non-coding RNA, 690 nt
Filed under: Hordeum vulgare
Lineage: Eukaryota; Viridiplantae; Streptophyta; Magnoliopsida; Poales; Poaceae
Description: long non-coding RNA (HVUL_LNC003657)
Source: RNAcentral